CUUUCCUGUCCUACAACAGAGGCAUUUCCCUGGCUCUGAUACAUCAAGGGAAUCAUGAGGGGAAUCAGGACCACUUCUGCAGAGUUAUCUGGUGAAGGAGAGUCCAAACAGUUAGAAGUCAUUAGGAUGUGCACGGGGAUCUCAGUAGCAGCUGUAUCAUUUCCAAGUACAUCACCACACAACCGGACAAAGCAUUGUUCUUCCCAUGAGACCAUCAGCACCAUAAUGGAUGUGACCCUGCAUGAGCAAGUCUGGAAAAACCUGAUGGCUCUUCUAAUCUGAAUGUCAAGAAAUGGAACAAAGAUUAAGUUUCCAAGGAGAAGAGCCCUUCAUCAUUUUCAGCCAACUUUAAGCUUUGAUUCCUAUAUUUAUACAGUUCAUUACUUUUUCACAAGAAGCAAAAUGUUCUUGUUCCAUGGCUGCAUCAAGCUAUGCAUGAGGAUUUAGCAGCAUAUAUAUUAAUCAUUGCAUUAUCUUCAUUUUCUUAAAGAGAAUAUGUAACACAAAGGAAGACAACAAGAAUUAUUCUCCAAGAAAAAGCAACAGCUCAGCUUCACAACAUUAACUUUGACAAAUAUUCAUGAAACCAAAACUUUAGAGGUCCAAAAAAGGAAAUAGCUCAUAUUUAAAUGAAUUCAUUUUCACAACUGUUCUCAUUAAUCUCUUCUUAUGUAGGAUUAUAUUUUAAACAUAAAAGAAUUCCUUGCUUCUAUUUCCUAUGCUAUUUUAGCUUCAUGCUUUCUUAGAACAGCUGUACCCAACUUCAUAUUUAUGCAAACAUCUUCUUCACACUAUUUUCCAGCUACUUUUCUGUGAGUUUAUAGAAAUGUGUAUUGUCAGACACAGAAGGUACAAUUCUUGAAAGCACUUGUGGGAUUUGGGAUCUUGGGUUUUAUUUAAUUUCAGUCGCAGCUGUGAUUCCAUCUUUAUGGGUCCCUCAAAAACUAGUUAUUUGACAGAACAAGAACAAAUUUGUUCUCUACAAUGUCACUUAAACAGCAAGUUAUUAAUUUUAACUUCUGAUGGAUUUAAUGUAAUCAUCAGAAUUUCCUUAUUACAAGACUUACUGUAUAACACAAUGCAAUUUUCAAUUAAUGCAAUGGAAUCUUAAAUCAGAGUCUAG
This is a long non-coding RNA of Zonotrichia albicollis (white-throated sparrow), 1123 nucleotides long. NCBI's taxonomy places the organism in Eukaryota, Metazoa, Chordata, Aves, Passeriformes, Passerellidae. The record is from Ensembl.